CGCUCAUGCAGAGGACACGAGGGAUCUGGCCCGAAGACUGUCCGGCAACCUGUACUGAUUACAGAACAAGGUGCUAAGCCAGCCGCUUUUGCGGAAACCAUGAGGC
This 106-nucleotide non-coding RNA is filed under the name Desulfovibrio sp. Its description in RNAcentral is "SAM-I sequence". It matches the Rfam family "SAM riboswitch aptamer (S box leader)". From Rfam's summary of the family: The SAM riboswitch is found upstream of a number of genes which code for proteins involved in methionine or cysteine biosynthesis in Gram-positive bacteria. Lineage: Bacteria; Pseudomonadati; Thermodesulfobacteriota; Desulfovibrionia; Desulfovibrionales; Desulfovibrionaceae. The record is from RNAcentral. RNAcentral also lists the same sequence under 1 other name.